This 254-nucleotide ribosomal RNA is filed under the name uncultured bacterium. RNAcentral describes it as "partial 16S ribosomal RNA". It matches the Rfam family "Bacterial small subunit ribosomal RNA", at positions 524 to 777 of the family's 1533-position model. The record is from RNAcentral.
UACGAAGGGGGCUAGCGUUGCUCGGAAUUACUGGGCGUAAAGCGCACGUAGGCGGCUUUCUAAGUCGGGGGUGAAAUCCUGGAGCUCAACUCCAGAACUGCCUUCGAUACUGGAGAGCUUGAGUCCGGGAGAGGUGAGUGGAACUGCGAGUGUAGAGGUGAAAUUCGUAGAUAUUCGCAAGAACACCAGUGGCGUAGGCGGCUCACUGGCCCGGUACUGACGCUGAGGUGCGAAAGCGUGGGGAGCAAACAGGG